UCAUCAUCAUAAUUUCAUUGAACUUUCAUAACCAAAGACAUAUUGCAUGGGCUCAAGACAUGAAAUUUAAAAAAUAAAAAAAAUAAAAAAAAUAGGGAAAUCGAUUUACCCAAUUAGGGAAAUCGAUUUACCCAAUUAGGUAAAUCGAUUUCCCCUGCGCAGACACCAAAAAUAAGCCUUUUUUUGCACAAAGGGUAUUUGGUUCCCCCCACUUUCCCACUUGCUUUCCCUAUAAAUAGAUG
This 242-nucleotide long non-coding RNA is filed under the name Lathyrus oleraceus (garden pea). RNAcentral describes it as "Pisum sativum (pea) long non-coding RNA (PSAT_LNC030991)". The record is from RNAcentral. Lineage: Eukaryota; Viridiplantae; Streptophyta; Magnoliopsida; Fabales; Fabaceae.